GACUUCGUAGCUCAGCUGGUAGACCGCGAGCGUACAAAGCGUAGGCGGGGUCUAUGCGUGGGUUCGAAUCCCACCGAGGCUA
This 82-nucleotide transfer RNA is filed under the name Echinostoma caproni. It matches the Rfam family "tRNA". From Rfam's summary of the family: Transfer RNA (tRNA) molecules are approximately 80 nucleotides in length. Their secondary structure includes four short double-helical elements and three loops (D, anti-codon, and T loops). The record is from Rfam by way of RNAcentral. Lineage: Eukaryota; Metazoa; Platyhelminthes; Trematoda; Plagiorchiida; Echinostomatidae.